CCCCUCCGGAGGCGGGGCGCGGGCCACGUGACCCGGAAAAGCCGCCCGCUUAAAGUGGUGCCGUGUCCCCCGUCGCCGAGAGACGAGGCAGGAGGCUGGCUGUGAUCACGCAGCCAAGACUGACUUCUGUACUCACCUCGGGACCCCACUCGCACCGGGCAAACACUACUCCCGGAGAUCUGCCCGGCCCCGGGGGCUGAUUUUAUAAACAAUCUGUCAGCCAUACAGGCAGGGCUGGCAUCUGCUGGGAUGUUGAAUUCUGCCUCUCCCCACAAGUUUACGUGUUGGACUUUUAAUCCCCGAUAUCUCAGAAUGUGCCUGCACUUGGAGCUUCAAAGAUGUAAUUAAGGCAAAAUGAAGUCGUCAGAUGGGUCCCUAAACCAAUAUGACUUUUAUUUAAAGAAGGAAAAAAGAGAUGAGGAGGUCUUAAAUGCCCAGCCUGCCGAGUGGCCAUCAACGAGUCAGGGAGGCCUCGAAGAAACAGUCCUGGUCCAGCGAGAUGGCUCUGUGAGUACAGGCGUUUACCACCGAGUAUGAUGGUUGACCUUGAAGAGCUGGCUCAAGUGCCUGGGCCUCCCAAGCAGCGGCACUACAGGCACCCUCGAACCCGGGGAGAAGAAACGUACUGACGCGUCAGUGCACAGGAACCAUACGGCACAACUUACAUGCAGAGUCUGAUGGUAGGCGUCCUUCAUCUCUUCACUACUAAGCUUUACUUCUUUCAAUUUAGGGGCUGGAACUUGAUCAUGGCCAAUGAAAGACAUUACUAAAAUGUGCUUCUUAAGCAGUACAACUGUUGGACAAGGAAUUCCAGCCUUCUGCAUUCUGUAUAGAAAGACAUGAUUAGGAAUAUAAAGGUCAGAAGGAGAAAACAUGCCAUUAAUUCCACAAACGCCUGUGUUGAGCUGGUACUAUGCUCUACACGGGAGAUAGGGGAAUACAAAACCAGGAAGACACAGCCCCGCUGGGAGGGAACUUGGCAGGUGGAAUGGUACCGAGUUAAGGUUGGCACAGGUGUGCCCGGCGCCCUGCACGCUCUGUGAUUCUUCAGAAAGACUGUUCAACAGAGAGCUGUCCUAUAUAUGACAGGAUGUCUGGGCAAACGAUGCCUUAGUUUCCCUUGAAUGUUAACGAAGAAGGAAAUGGCUUUUCAUUCACAAAGGAUGAAUUCUGGUUCAAAGCAGGGAAAUGUUUUCUGACAAAAAGCCUUGGAAGCACUAGAAAGUCAACAUCUUCUGUUAUUUCUAUAAGCCAGCUUAAAAGACAGCAUGGGCCUUGGCCUGGCUAGCAGUCCUGGUACAAAGGGCAAUUCCCAAGGUCACCUGCAGCACACUGUUUCUUUACCUUGUAAGAUUGUGCAUUUCUUUCUCUGCCCACAUGCGGAUGAUCUUACGUGGAUUUAGUUUACUGAAGCGGUCCUUAAACCUGAAAUCAUCUUUAAUGUAUUUGUCACGGUUCUUAAACUCAUUCAGGGUUGUUUUAAAUACCUUGAUGGCACAUUCGGUUGGUAUAGCUCUACCAUCUUCCUUGUCCUCCUCCAAGCUGAAGGGAGAAGAACAAAGUCAGUAAGUCACCAGCUCACAGGAAGACCGUCUCAGGCUCCAUUCCACUCAAGUAGACCGACUCUGUUUCAAAGGGUCAUCCGACUUUGUUGUUGUUUUUAAACCUUCAAGUUUUAUAUCUUAAUAAAACAUUAGGUUUUAGGGGAUCCUGCUAUGUUUCCUAGAAUGGCCUCAAUUUCCUAGACCCAAGUGAUCCUCCUGUCUCAGCUUGUCCAGGAUCUGGAACUACAGACAGACACUGUUGCUCCUAGCUGGGUUUGUUUCUUUUAAUAAAACAUACUUCCAAAUGAACUGUCAGAUACCUUUCAUCAAUCUACAGUAUAAUGUUCUGCAUAUUUCAUCACUAUAGAAUCAAGCUUGACAAAUAAUGGGAAAACAUACUUCUUAAACUACUAUGACCUUGGAUUUGGGGGCAAAACUCAACAAAAUCAACAGAGUAGCCUUGUAAAAAAAAAUAAUCAUAAUUCCCAGCCUGGUCUCCAAAGCGAGUUCCAGGAAAGGUGCAAAGCUACACAGAGAAACCCUUGACAGCUGAGACAUCCAGUCUCCUGUACUGAACAACUACCAGGUCCUUUGCCUUUCCAUCAGGGAACAGCCAUAGUUGGACUAACAGACCACAGCUUGUGAGCCUCUCUAGUCAUCUCCCUUUAAAAUAUAUCCAUAUGUGUAGAAUUCUAUCAUUCCUGUUCCUUUAAAGAGCCUAAUACACAUGCAGAAACAUCUACAUAGACAAGCAGCUGUAAUGACGUGCUAUGUACCCUUUCAUCCAUCUUUUGGCUGUCAACACUGGGUUUUUUGCUUACUUUUAAAAUGCAGGCUGAAAGCUAACCUCAUCAUGAUGCCUUCCCUGCAUGUGUCUGGCAAUGAUCUUGCCCUCUGUCUCUUCCUACCCUACAGUGGUCUUACACAGCUGCAUGCUUUGUCAUACAAUUAUCUUUUACUGGUCGUAACUGUUCUUGCUCCAGUGACCUCCUCCUGUCACGGAGGAUCUGACUGCUGUGGUGACAAACAAGAAAGUCUGUACUUUCUCCUUUAUGUGCAUGUUGAUGUGAGUGAGGGUCAGCAGACAACCCUGGAUGUUGGGCCUUGCCUUGUGCCUUGGGGCGGUCUCGCUGCCUCUGUGUAAGCCAGGCUCCCAGGGAGUCUCCCGUCUCCCCCCCACCCCACCCAGGAGCACAGGGAACCCCAGUCCUCAUACUUGCACAGAAACCACUUCACCCUCCCAGCCGACUCUCCAGCCCCAGAAAAUACACUGUUUAACUUUUAAUUAAAAUUUUCAUAUACUAAAAAAAAAAAAGAAAAAAACAUGAAAUCCCAAAAACACUGCUUGAUACACCAGCCGGCUCAGGAUUUCCAAGGGAGCAAACCCAGCUCUCCAUUCAGUGAAGCCUUCCACUAACUGUUUAACAAAAAGAGGAAAAGCAAGGCAUACAGUGUUUCCACAUCAAUUUCAUUAGGAGUUUAGCUGGAGGGUAUAGCUGUAAAACACACCUAAGUUCAAGGAUCUCUCUAUACAGUCCCAUAAUGUCAUUUACAGUAGCAUGGUCUGGGGAUGGAGAGGCAGCUCUGAGGCCAAGGGCACUUGCUGUGCUCCCAGUUCCAGAGGACUGGGAUUUGGUUCCUAGCUCUCCUGUCGGACAGCUCACAACCACCUUUAACUCCAGCUCCAGGGAAGCCAACGCCUCCUGGUCUAUUACACAUCAAUAAAAAUAAGACUUUAAAAGGUAUAGUGCGGUCUAGAAAUACAGACUGCCUACUAAUACCUAAACGUCAAAGGUAUGUUAACUGGGAAGAGAUCACUGCAUAAGCUAAGUAAACAAAUGCAUACAAAACUCUGAAAGAUUGAACUCAAAGUUGGAAAGGAAGAAAUAAAUGUUUGUUAAGAUUAAUAUCAGGAAUUAUGAAAUAAGGUCUCAUUGAGCCACACAAAAAUCCCAUGAAGUGAGGCGCAGUUUCCAAGUGAGGUUUUCAUCUAACUUGUUCCAGAUCAGAGGUUAAAACUGCAAACCCCUCCCCAUACCUCCUUCCCUUUUGGUGCUGGGGAUUGAACCCAGGGCCUUGCAUCUGCUAAGCAUGAGCUCUACCACUGAGCUACAUCCCCAGACCCAACCCUGCUUUCUGCUCUCUUCAUUUUUAGAACUUAACAAUCCGAUUCACUAUGAUGUCUGUGUGUUAAGGGUGUGUGUGAAAAGGUAAAUAGUUAAGAAAACUAAAGGCAAAGAAUUGACCAACAGGCAUGUGAAUUCUUUUAAGUACAAAACAAAUAAAUAAAAAUAAUGUCUACACUUCUACAA
Molecule: non-coding RNA, 3856 nt
Organism: Peromyscus maniculatus bairdii (prairie deer mouse)
Lineage: Eukaryota; Metazoa; Chordata; Mammalia; Rodentia; Cricetidae
Source: RefSeq, a predicted model, not a curated record